AGUGAACGCUGGCGGUAGGCCUAACACAUGCAAGUCGAACGGCAGCACAGAGGAGCUUGCUCCUUGGGUGGCGAGUGGCGGACGGGUGAGGAAUACAUCGGAAUCUACUCUGUCGUGGGGGAUAACGUAGGGAAACUUACGCUAAUACCGCAUACGACCUACGGGUGAAAGCAGGGGAUCUUCGGACCUUGCGCGAUUGAAUGAGCCGAUGUCGGAUUAGCUAGUUGGCGGGGUAAAGGCCCACCAAGGCGACGAUCCGUAGCUGGUCUGAGAGGAUGAUCAGCCACACUGGAACUGAGACACGGUCCAGACUCCUACGGGAGGCAGCAGUGGGGAAUAUUGGACAAUGGGCGCAAGCCUGAUCCAGCCAUACCGCGUGGGUGAAGAAGGCCUUCGGGUUGUAAAGCCCUUUUGUUGGGAAAGAAAUCCAUCUGGUUAAUACCCGGGUGGGAUGACGGUACCCAAAGAAUAAGCUCCGGCUAACUCCGUGCCAGCCGCCGAGUAA
RNAcentral lists this ribosomal RNA (505 nucleotides) under uncultured bacterium. Its description in RNAcentral is "partial 16S ribosomal RNA". It matches the Rfam family "Bacterial small subunit ribosomal RNA", at positions 29 to 523 of the family's 1533-position model. The record is from RNAcentral.